ACUGGCCUACGGGAGGCAGCAGUGGGGAAUAUUGCACAAUGGGGGAAACCCUGAUGCAGCGACGCCGCGUGAGUGAAGAAGUAAUUCGUUACGUAAAGCUCUAUCAGCAGGGAAGAGAAUGACGGUACCUGAGUAAGAAGCCCCGGCUAACUACGUGCCAGCAGCCGCGGUAAUACGUAGGGGGCAAGCGUUAUCCGGAAUUACUGGGUGUAAAGGGAGCGUAGACGGUUAAGUAAGUCUGGAGUGAAAGGCCGGGGCCCAACCCCGAGACUGCUCUGGAAACUAUUGAACUUGAGUGCAGGAGG
Molecule: ribosomal RNA, 305 nt
Filed under: uncultured bacterium
Lineage: Bacteria
Description: bacterial SSU rRNA
Rfam family: Bacterial small subunit ribosomal RNA
Source: RNAcentral